AAUAUAGUAAAAGAUAUUAUUUUCUUAAAAAAUCUAAUUUUAUUUUUCAUAAAGUAUUAUUUCCUUAAAAAAAAAAAUCUAAUUUUAUUUUCCCUAAAGUAUUAUUUCCUUAAAAAAUCUAAUUUUAUUUUUCCUAAAGUAAAAUAUCUAUAUUUGAACUUGACACGUAGAUUAUUUUCUCUAAAACAGUAAUAUCCACACCCGCCAAUUUUUUCGCGUGAAUUUAUCAAAUAUCUCAACAUAAUUAUAGAUGGCUUUGAAAUAAAAUCUCCUUCAUUCAUUACAGGUGAUUUUUAAUAAUAUUGUAAAAGAUACUAUUUACUUAAAAAAUUUAAUUUUAUUUUUCCUAAAGUAGUCAUAUUCCCUAAAGUAGUAAUAUCCGCACAACAUAAUUAUAGGUGACUUUGAAAUAUUCUCUAAAGUAGAAAAUCUAUAUUUGAGCUUGACAGGUAGAUUUUCUAUAUAAUAAAAGAUAUUAUUUUCUUAAAAAAUCUAAUUUUUUUUUCUAAAAUAAAAAAUCUAUAUUUGAGCUUGACACGUGGCAAACAUAUAGAGCGCCACGUGUCAGCUUCUCACAUAUCUUUUAAAUUAUUUCCAUUGUAAUAUAUAGAUAGUAAAUUAAUUUUAAAUUUUAAAUUGAAAUAUAGAUUUGCAGUAGAUAUUCUGGCAAAAAUUUGGAUAAGCAUGAAUUUUUUUUUUUUCUUUUUUAGAGAUAAAAAAAUUAAAUAAAAUUUUAAUUAAAAUGUAGAUUCACAGUAAAUAUCUUUCGGGUGGUAAAAAAAUUUGGAUAAGUGUAUCUUUUUUUAUAUUUUAGAGAUAAACAGAAAUUUAAAGUUUGUUUCAUUACGUUAUUUAUUUUACGUAAGGAAAAAGGAAUCAAUAUUUUUUCCCACCAAAAAAU
Molecule: long non-coding RNA, 901 nt
Filed under: Ananas comosus (pineapple)
Lineage: Eukaryota; Viridiplantae; Streptophyta; Magnoliopsida; Poales; Bromeliaceae
Description: long non-coding RNA (ACOM_LNC004288)
Source: RNAcentral